UACGUAGGGGGCUAGCGUUGUUCGGAAUUACUGGGCGUAAAGCGCGCGUAGGCGGAUCUGCAAGUCGGGUGUGAAAUCCCGAGGCUCAACCUCGGAACUGCCUUCGAUACUGCGGGGCUCGAGUCCGGGAGAGGUGAGUGGAAUUCCUAGUGUAGAGGUGAAAUUCGUAGAUAUUAGGAAGAACACCAGUGGCGAAGGCGGCUCACUGGCCCGGUACUGACGCUGAGGCGCGAAAGCGUGGGGAGCAAACAGG
RNAcentral lists this ribosomal RNA (253 nucleotides) under uncultured bacterium. RNAcentral describes it as "partial 16S ribosomal RNA". It matches the Rfam family "Bacterial small subunit ribosomal RNA", at positions 524 to 776 of the family's 1533-position model. The record is from RNAcentral.